RNAcentral lists this ribosomal RNA (515 nucleotides) under uncultured bacterium. RNAcentral's name for it is "partial 16S ribosomal RNA". It matches the Rfam family "Bacterial small subunit ribosomal RNA", at positions 28 to 523 of the family's 1533-position model. The record is from RNAcentral.
GACGAACGCUGGCGGCGUACCUAAUACAUGCAAGUCGAGCGGACUUUCAAGAAGCUUGCUUUUUGAAAGUUAGCGGCGGACGGGUGAGAAACACGUGGGCAACCUGCCUGUAAGACGGGGAUAACUCCGGGAAACCGGGGCUAAUACCGGAUAAUAUCUUUCUUCGCAUGAAGGAAGGUUGAAAGGCGGCGCAAGCUGCCGCUUGCAGAUGGGCCCGCGGCGCAUUAGCGAGUUGGUGAGGUAACGGCUCACCAAGGCGACGAUGCGUAGCCGACCUGGGAGGGUGAUCGGCCACACUGGGACUGAGACACGGCCCAGACUCCUACGGGAGGCAGCAGUAGGGAAUCUUCCGCAAUGGACGAAAGUCUGACGGAGCAACGCCGCGUGAGCGAAGAAGGUCUUCGGAUCGUAAAGCUCUGUUGUCAGGGAAGAACAAGUACCGUUCGAAUAGGGCGGUACCUUGACGGUACCUGACCAGAAAGCCACAGCUAACUACGUGCCAGCCGCCGCCGUAA